UGCAAGUCGAACGAUGACCCGGUGCUUGCACCGGUGAUUAGUGGCGAACGGGUGAGUAACACGUGAGUAACCUGCCCUUAACUCUGGGAUAAGCCUGGGAAACUGGGUCUAAUACCGGAUAUGACUCCUCAUCGCAUGGUGGGGGGUGGAAAGCUUUAUUGUGGUUUUGGAUGGACUCGCGGCCUAUCAGCUUGUUGGUGAGGUAAUGGCUCACCAAGGCGACGACGGGUAGCCGGCCUGAGAGGGUGACCGGCCACACUGGGACUGAGACACGGCCCAGACUCCUACGGGAGGCAGCAGUGGGGAAUAUUGCACAAUGGGCGAAAGCCUGAUGCAGCGACGCCGCGUGAGGGAUGACGGCCUUCGGGUUGUAAACCUCUUUCAGUAGGGAAGAAGCGAAAGUGACGGUACCUGCAGAAGAAGCGCCGGCUAACUACGUGCCAGCAGCCGCGGUAAUACGUAGGGCGCAAGCGUUAUCCGGAAUUAUUGGGCGUAAAGAGCUCGUAGGCGGUUUGUCGCGUCUGCCGUGAAAGUCCGGGGCUCAACUCCGGAUCUGCGGUGGGUACGGGCAGACUAGAGUGAUGUAGGGGAGACUGGAAUUCCUGGUGUAGCGGUGAAAUGCGCAGAUAUCAGGAGGAACACCGAUGGCGAAGGCAGGUCUCUGGGCAUUAACUGACGCUGAGGAGCGAAAGCAUGGGGAGCGAACAGGAUUAGAUACCCUGGUAGUCCAUGCCGUAAACGUUGGGCACUAGGUGUGGGGGACAUUCCACGUUUUCCGCGCCGUAGCUAACGCAUUAAGUGCCCCGCCUGGGGAGUACGGCCGCAAGGCUAAAACUCAAAGGAAUUGACGGGGGCCC
This 857-nucleotide ribosomal RNA is filed under the name mercury-resistant bacterium CFU 57. Its description in RNAcentral is "bacterial SSU rRNA". It matches the Rfam family "Bacterial small subunit ribosomal RNA", at positions 56 to 922 of the family's 1533-position model. The record is from RNAcentral.